This 4872-nucleotide long non-coding RNA is filed under the name Sus scrofa (pig). RNAcentral describes it as "lncRNA (ENSSSCG00040001663.1)". Lineage: Eukaryota; Metazoa; Chordata; Mammalia; Artiodactyla; Suidae. The record is from RNAcentral.
CUUAAGGUUUUAUCCACAAAUCUACUGCAAGACAAUGACAAUGGGAAUUAUUAUCUGAAAUCAGGUUUGGGAAGAGUCCUUGACCUCAGCCCCAACUGGCCCAUCCACAAAAUGCAAUGCUUUCCAGACACAAAAACCUUUGGACGGCUCUACCUGAAUGGAUGUAGACCCAUCCCCUAGACAUAUUAGGUGACAAAUGGAGUAUUUAUUAUGUUACCAUUUGUGUAAAAAGAAAAAGAGAGAGAGAGAGAGCACAGACAUUUCUGAACUUGUAACAGAUUGGUAUAUAUAGAGAAAGGAGACCUGUAUUUCAUUAUAUACCUUUUUGUUGUUUUUCCACUUUUAGAAGGUACAUAAAUCAUCUAUUCAAAAAUUAAUUUUAAGAAAACUAAAGAAAGCACUUAGGUAAUCAAUACUCUUCAAUUGACUGAUUGAUCUUGGCCUUCCAAGGAGGACUUAGAGAUGAGAACUGAAGAAGGGCGUGCUUUUAGAGGGAUACAUCUGAUCUCCUGGGGAAGGUUUUAGUGUCAGAGUGGGCCUGGGAUAAGGAGAGUGGAAAAGGUGUCAACAGACACCCAGAGACACUUGAAAGAAUCUGUGAAGUACUUAAGUUCUUUGACACUUAGGAAAUUACAUCUUAGCUGUGAUAGAUGUGAGAAUGUGCUGGUUGAGAAAGCCCAGGGCAGUUACCUCUGGUCUGGAGCUGGUCCAAGGAGUCCCCUCUGCAGUCUGGGAGGGUUAGGUCAACGCCAUGCACGUCUUCAACGAAGGCUGUUUGUCUUUUUCUGGAAGGGGCACGCUGGGGGAGAGGGGAAGCACAGAGGUUCUGAGCCUAGGCCAAGUGAGGAGGAGUUGGAGGUUUUGGAUUGAGGCUCUGUGACCCCUUAUCUCCAGUACCUCAUUGCCAUCUUGGUGGGCAGUGGGGUUUAUUCUCUAGGAAAUGUCCCAGGUCUGACCCACACCGUCAGGCCAGACUCCAUUUGGGAUUGAAUCCUAAUAAAAUCUUACUCUGGGAAGCAACCUCUCCCGAGUUGUUACUUCCUGGUUAUUUGUUCUUGAAUUGCUUCAAUCAUGUUAAAACCGGGCUUGCCCUUAGCUCUGAAUGAAGACAAAGAGAGGUCAAGAGAAAAGGAGGGACAGGUGUUAGUUAAAGCCAAAUCACUGAUGGCUUAUGACGUGCCUUUCACUUUAGCCCUCUAUCAGCAGUGUUUCUAGUGACCUGGAGUAACCGAGGGGGAAAGACCCAGAUUAGCAUCCCAACUCCACCAUCAUCAGGCCAACAACCUGGGUUAAUUGAGCCAGGGUCCUCCUGGGUAAAGGGAGACACCAUGGCUGCUUCGGUGUCAUAGUUAGGAAAGGAUGAGAGCCUCUGUGCAACUUAAUCAGCAUUUUUCGAGCAACGAUUAUGGGAUAGGAAGAGAAGUAAAGCAAUCUUGUGCUAAAGGGCCUCAGUGACAAUCAGAGAGGUAUUAAGUUGAGCUGUGGACUGAUCCAGGGAAAGAGAAAAGAAUGUAGAUUUGCAGAGAAUAAAAAACAAAAACACAUUCCCCCUCCCCGAGCUCUCCACCACACUGCCCUCAUUUAUCUUCUUCAUAGCAUUUGUCAGUGUUUUGUUUCUAUGCUGGGGCCAGUCCUCCUCCUCCUCCAGAACACAGUCUGCUGCAAAGCCCGACAUCUGCCUUGUUUCCUGCUACAUCUCCUGUACCUAAGGUCCUUCUCUUCCUGUCCCCUUCUUUCUCUUUUCCUUCUUAGUUUUCGAGGGAGGCGAGGGGUUAGGACUUUUGAUUGGAUUUUAAGAUUAUGAUAACUUCAGAAUUGUUUCAGAGGAAAAAAAAAAAAAAAAAAAAAAAGAAGUUCCCUGGUGGCUCAGCCGAUUAAGGAUUCGGUGUCACCACUGCUGUGGCUAUUGGUCACUGCUGGUGCGGGUUCUCUGGGAUCUCUGGCCCCGGGAACUUUCACAUGCUGUGGGCGGGGCCAAAACAUGUUUCAGAGAUUUUUAGUAUUUUUCCCCAAGUCCUAUGGCCUGAAAUAUAGUUGUCCCUUGGUAUCCACAGGAGAUUGGUUCCAGGACCCGCCAUGGCACGGACACUCAAGUCACACAGUCAGCCCUAUGUAUCCAAGGUCCCAAACAGAUAUGAAAAACCUUGAGUCAUGUAAUACUGUAUUUACUUAUUUAUUUUGCCUUUUAGGGCCACACCUGAGGCAUAUGGAAGUUCCUAGGCUAGGGGUCGAAGUGGAGGUACAACUGCCUGUCUGCACCCCAGCCGCAGCAAUGCCAGAUUCGAGCCUGAUCUGCAACCCACACCGAGGCUCACAGCAACACCGGAUCCGUAACCCACUGAGCGAGGCCAGGGAUUGAACCUGCAUCCUCAUGGAUACUAGCUGGAACUGACUGUAAAAUCAUGGACAUCCAUCCAAUGGAAAAUAAUUAAAUUAUUAUAAAAAUGUAGACCUAUAAUUGAUAUGAGAAGUUACAUGUUUAAGUGAAAAGGGAAGAAUAUAAAAUAUUCUGUAUAGUAUUUAAUUUGGAGGGGACUAACUCUGCCUCAUAUCUGUACAUGUACAUUUACAUGCAAAAUUUUUCUGAAAGUAUAAAUCCCAAAAUACUAAUAGGGCUUAACUCUGGGUGGCUGGAUGAAAGAUAUUCUUGAAAAAAACACCCUCCCAGAAUUCCCGUUGUGGCACAGUGGGUUAAUGAUCCAGUUUGUCUCUGCGGUGUGGCCGGUUCGAUCCCCAGCCUGGUGCAAUGGGUUAAAGGAUUUGGCGUUGACACAGUUGUGGCUGUAGGUUGCAGAUACAGCUCAGACUCGGAUUCGAUCCCUGGCCAGGGAACUUCCAUAUGCUGCUGAUGCAGCAGAAGAAGGAAAACACACAAACACACAAAACAAAAUUCCUCUCCAACCUAUAACAACAUUAAUACAAAACAAACUGCUACAUACACCAAUCUCAUCAGCUUAGGAUAUAGCAAGGCCAUAACAUAAGCAGAUAAGUUAGGAAUUCCCCAGAGAAAGAAAACCAGGAAUGGCUUUCUUGAAAUAAGAGAAGCUAUUUUGUGAUCUAAGCCUGGCUGCCGUGCUUGCCCUUGAAUGAGUCCCAGUAAUUAAUGAUCUUAGGGAACAAAGCGAUGCAGGAACAGAGAAAAGGCAGCCAAACAAUAGUGCAGUGAUAAAGCAGAGUCUUAGUUCCUCCUCAAGGGACUUACACACUCAAAGUUCCUUUGAGUUCUGCAGGAACUAAGGCCCCUCCCAGGUGGAGGACAGAAUGAGGAUGUUGACCUUCUGACUUCAAUCAACUAAAACCUGGACUCUGUCGACCUUUGACCCAACUCUAAGGAAUUCUUCUACACUCGAGUUCCUUCAUGGAUGUGCAUGUACCCUUAACUUAAAACUUACCCAGUUUUGUUGUUUGGAGAGACACUAUUUUGGAGAAGAUUCCCUAUGGGGUCUCCUUACCUGGUGCACAUAACAACGAGUCCAUCCUUUACCUUUGGCUUCGUUGUGUCUGUUGGCCUGACACUCAACCAAGAGGCAAACCCAGCUUUUGAGUGACAAUAACAUUUAAUACUCAAAUGAAUAUGUUUAUAUUCCUUUAAAAAUAUAUAUUCCAUUAUAUGAAAAGUUCACUUUGCUCCGGAGGUUCUCUUCUCUGAUAGUUCUUGGAACCACCUCCCCACAAGAUCUACUUACUAAAUUCAAAGGGCUCAUUUCAGGACACCAUUGAUUUCCCCCCCUCUGGUCCCUUGGCUAAGUUUACUGUAUCUGUUCUCUUCUUUUACAAAAUUAAAAACCUGAAAAGCCAAGCCCAAGUGACAGCUUGAAUCUCUCUGUUCAUGAAGACAGAAGUCUCAGGCUGGCUGUUUUAUUUUUUGUUUGUUUGUUUAAGCAAGACUUUUCUGGCUACACCCACAGCAUGUGGAAGUUCCUGGACCAGGGAUUGAACCCAUGCCACUGCAGUAACAACACCAGAUCCUUAACCUGCUGAGCCACCAGAAAACUCCCAAGCAAGAUUUUCAUGAUGAAGCAGUAUGUUUCUGCACCUUCUGGUGUACGCUCCUUAUCUCAUAGUAGGCUACUAACAGUUCCAUCACUUGCAGAAGCACUGCAUCAAAGGGCAGAUAGAACCCAGAGGCAAAUCCCUGGGGCCCACUGCUUUUUCAAAUGAGUUCCUGUCGUGGUGCAGCAGAAACAAAUCUGACUAGGAACCAUGAAGUUGCAGGUUGGAUCCCUGGCCUCACUGGGUGGGUUAAGGAUCCCGUGUUGCUGUGAGCUGUGGUGUAGUUCGAAGAUUCGGUUCGGAUCUGGUGUUGCUGUGGCUGUGGCGUAGGCUGGCAGCUACAGCUCCAAUUUGACCCCUAGCCUGGGAACUUCUAUAUGCCACAGGUGUGGCCCUAAAGAAAAAAAAAAAAAAGACGUCCUAUGUGUAAAGAGUUGUGCUAGAAAACUGUUAGAUAAAAACUUCAAUGUAUGAUUUUUUUUUUUCAACUUGCAUAAACAGGAGUCAAAGCUUUUUGGGGAAAAAAAAAAAAAAAAACCCUACUGAAAGUAGGAUCUUAGGUAGUAAACAAUGAAUAAGAAAAGACUCUAGAGGGUCAUAACAGCCUUCCCAGCUUCCUUGAAACUAUACUGAUCUCCUACUGAGCAGGCCAGGACAGAGAGGCCUGGAUGCUGCAGCCUGAUAUGUCUGCUGUGCUCCUGUUGGGGGAGCAGCCCACGGUCAAGACCUCCUCACCUAGUUGUUUAGUUUAUGAACAUUCAUAUUCAAUAUUACGUUCACCAGUUCACCCGAGUAUAAGAAGUACAUCACUUGAGGUUCCCAUCCUAAUUCUACUUUUCAUCACUAAGUGGUUCUGGACAAGUUACUCAGGCACUCUGA